GCGUAGCUAUAGGUUGAGGCCAGGAUUUUUUUUUUUUUUUGAGAUAUAAUACAAAGGAUACUGGACAUAAAAUGGUUAGACCAGAAGUUAUAAACCCAUGUCGUUAAAGGCAGGUAGGUAACGGAGAGGUCGAAAGGAAUGGGGAAUUGGUGGUUUGGGUUCCUGGAAAGACAAUAGGGACUGGUUGAAAUCUGCAAUUUAAAAGACAUAAUCUAUCUGAAGGCAUUUGUGGUAGCCUGACUCUAACAUGGUCCCCAGUGGCCCUCAUCUCCUGGUAUUACCCCCCUGUAUAGUCCCUGCCUACACUGUACAGGGUUGGUCUUUGUGACCACUUACACAUGAAAGAAGCGAUGGCAUAACACUUCUGAGCUUAUGUCAUAAAAGACUGCAGCUUCUCUCUGCGUACUCUCUCAGCUCUCUCUGGGGGAAGCCAGCUGCAUGUCAUAUGGACAUUCAGGCAACCUAGGGUGUGAAUAAUGUGGCAAGGAAAUAAAAGGCCUGCUAGCAAAUGCUCAGUUGAGCUUGGUAAUGGGUCCUCUCCCAGCAUCUCCAGCCAAGAGCUUGACUGCAACCUCAUAUGAGAUUUUGAGCCAUAACCAUUCAGCUAAACUGCUUCUGGAUACCUGACCAUAGAAACUGUGAGAUUAUAAGAGAAGCAGAUCUUAGGGGGACAAGAGUACAUAUGAAACACAGCAGAGGAGUAGGAUAUGUCUUUGAAUGAAGAUGCCUGAGGGACUGAAUAAAGAACCUGGACAACUAAAGAAAAAAGACACCUAUGGAUCAGAAUUGAGACAAUUUCUUCAGAACUUCCAGUUUCCCAAGACGCAACAUUGAAUUCAAUCAGAGGUAAAGAUUCUGGACUAUUGGAUUAAAUGAGGAGGCAGGAGCUACUAUCUCUUGCAGUGUGAAACCAGGGCCGGGGAUGAAGAUAUGGACACAUCUCAGCUUUCCAGGGAUGCUGUGAUGUGGUGAAAUUAUGCCAUUCAUUAGAAGGUGAUACUGUCAUCAAUGUGAGAGGCCCAGGACUCUGCAGGGCCUGAAGAAAUCCUGGGCAAUGAGUCUGAGGGAAGUCUCUCAGAGCAGCUACUCUGAGAGAGUAAAGCCGCAGCCUUUGUGGGGCACAAUAUGGCAACUGAGCCAUAACAAUCCAGUGCGUGCAGCAGCUCAGCAGUUGUCCAACCACAAGGAGGCGCCAAAGGGCUGACUGCCAGUUCUACGCGGGACGCCGACUAUUUGUCCCAGCGGUGGAGAGUAUCAAAGCAGGCAACAGGCAACAAGGAAAAUUUCAAGCGGGUUGAAAACCUCAUUCAAGAAGUCCCUAGAAAGAGCACCUGGGAUUCUCCUUGCUGGUUCUGCCUCUGCCACUCUUCACAUCAUUAAUACUGGGUUCCACCUGGCUCUGUUUUUCAGGGCUUUGCUCUCAAAUCUAGGCACUUCCUGGUACUCAUUAACACAGAUCAAGAAAUUUUUCUUUCACCUCGUAUUCCCUCUAGGUUUAAUUCUCUGCUGUAAUCUGACGACUCAUUCCAUCUAAGUCAUGGGAAACUGAUAAUAAAUUAUUUGGGGAAUUUUUGGGAGGGUUGUCUUCUUCCUAAAAGAUGGGGAUGGGGCUCUUUGAGUCACUUGAGUAGACCUCAGCACUCAGUGGGCUGGAGAUCUGGAGAUGUCACAGAGAGGUGGUUUCAUCUUGCCAAAAAAAAAGAUUAUAUGUAUAGGUAUAUAUACCUAUACAUAUAAUGUAUGUAUGUGUAUAUGUAUAUGAUAUAUAUAUGUG
RNAcentral lists this long non-coding RNA (1774 nucleotides) under Homo sapiens (human). RNAcentral's name for it is "HSALNT0335093". Lineage: Eukaryota; Metazoa; Chordata; Mammalia; Primates; Hominidae. The record is from RNAcentral.